This 264-nucleotide unclassified non-coding RNA is filed under the name uncultured fungus. RNAcentral's name for it is "sequence contains ITS1". The stretch from base 1 to 64 matches the Rfam family "Eukaryotic small subunit ribosomal RNA", at positions 1767 to 1831 of the family's 1831-position model. The record is from RNAcentral. Lineage: Eukaryota; Fungi.
GUCCAUUUAGAGGAGUAAAAGUCGUAACAAGGUUUCCGUAGGUGAACCUGCGGAGGGAUCAUUACAAAAUUCCCGCCCCAAAGGGUAUACCUCCCACCCUUGUGUAUUAUUCCUUUGUUGCUUUGGCGAGCUGCCUUCGGGCCUUGUAUGCUCGCUCCAGAAGACCACAACUCUCUUUAUUAAUGUCUUCCGAUUACAAUAUAAUAAUUAAAACUUUCAACAACGGAUCUCUGGGUUCUGGCAUCGAUGAAUAACGCAACGAAA